GACGAACGCUGGCGGCGUGCUUAACACAUGCAAGUCGAACGGAAAGGCCCUGCUUUUGUGGGGUGCUCGAGUGGCGAACGGGUGAGUAACACGUGAGUAACCUGCCCUUGACUUUGGGAUAACUUCAGGAAACUGGGGCUAAUACCGGAUAGGAGCUCCUGCUGCAUGGGGGGGGUUGGAAAGUUUCGGCGGUUGGGGCUGGACUCGCGGCUUAUCAGCUUGUUGGUGGGGUAGGGGCUUACCAAGGCUUUGACGGGUAGCCGGCCUGAGAGGGUGACCGGCCACAUUGGGACUGCGAUACGGCCCAGACGCCUACGGGAGGCAGCAGUGGGGAAUAUUGCACAAUGGGCGGAAGCCUGAUGCAGCAACGCCGCGUGCGGGAUGACGGCCUUCGGGUUGUAAACCGCUUUCGCCUGUGACGAAGCGUGAGUGACGGUAAUGGGUAAAGAAGCACCGGCUAACUACGUG
This 468-nucleotide ribosomal RNA is filed under the name uncultured bacterium. RNAcentral describes it as "partial 16S ribosomal RNA". It matches the Rfam family "Bacterial small subunit ribosomal RNA", at positions 28 to 507 of the family's 1533-position model. The record is from RNAcentral.